Molecule: ribosomal RNA, 351 nt
Filed under: Macrosetella gracilis
Lineage: Eukaryota; Metazoa; Arthropoda; Copepoda; Harpacticoida; Miraciidae
Description: partial 28S ribosomal RNA
Source: RNAcentral
GAGAGUUCAAGAGUAACGUGAAACUGUUUAGUGGUAAACGGAGGGGUUCUCGAAGUCUGUGUUGGAGGUUCAAGCUAAUGGCUGAUGGUCAGGGCGUUUGAGUUCUGCAAAGUCUCUUUCGUUUUGUCUCUGAUGUUUUUGGCCGCAUUUCUCCAGCACUUUACGCUACGAACCGUUCUUACUGUCCCAGACAGGCUUAGUGAAAGGUAACCUCGGUUGCUGGCGCUUUGCUUUGAGGUACAGGAGGGACGGGGAUUUGAGUGGUCUCCUUAGAGUGCCUUGGCACGGGCCGCAUAUCUGUAGCGAGUAGGUCGGUGGCCCCUCCGACCCGUCUUGAAACACGGACCACAA